Danio rerio (zebrafish) is the source of this 741-nucleotide non-coding RNA. Lineage: Eukaryota; Metazoa; Chordata; Actinopteri; Cypriniformes; Danionidae. The record is from RefSeq and is a predicted model, not a curated record.
AUGGACCAGGCCGUAUCCCGAGCUAAUGUGGUGGUCAUGGAGGAAUGGACUCAUGUGGGUAUAGAGGACGGCACUGAAGCAAAACCUCACUCCAGACCUUAUAUGGUUUCUCUUCAGAUAAACAGCAAGCAUAUCUAUGGUGGAUUCCUCAUUACUGAACAGUUUGUCUUGACUGAUGCACAUUGCUGGGCAAAAGGUUUUGUCCUUACGGUUGUGGUUGGCGCCCAUCAUUUGAGUGAAAAUGAAAUUUACGACUCAUUUGAAGUAGAAUCCUACAUCCCGCAUCCAGACUAUAAUUCUAAUACAUUUGAGAAUGACAUCUUGCUUUUGAAGUUAAAUAAAAAAGUCAGACUGAGCAACAUUGUUGGACUGAUAUCAUUACCAAAGGAUGGAGAAGAUGUUGAAGCAAAUACUCUCUGUAGUGUUGCUGGUUGGGGGGAUCUGUGGGGAAAAGGCCCAGAGACUGAUCGUCUAAGAGAGGCAGAGACAGUUAUAGUGAAUAAUGCAGAGUGUGAACGCAGAUGGGGAUCUGAUUAUGUGGUCUCAAAGAUGAUCUGUGUUUAUGGUCAUGGUGGAUCCUGCAAAGGGGAUUCAGGAGGUCCUUUGGUUUGUGGAGACACCGUUAUUGGUAUCACUUCUUUCGGUGACCAGUAUCUCUGUAAUUCACGUUUGUUUCCUAAUGUGUAUACUAGGAUUUCAGCAUAUCUUCCUUGGAUCCAGAAAUAUUUAGUUAUUUCAUAA